Salvia miltiorrhiza (redroot sage) is the source of this 1330-nucleotide RNA transcript. RefSeq lists it as uncharacterized. The record is from RefSeq and is a predicted model, not a curated record. Lineage: Eukaryota; Viridiplantae; Streptophyta; Magnoliopsida; Lamiales; Lamiaceae. The transcript is spliced from 10 exons.
CCUUGUCUUAGAUAACGCGACUGGAAAAAAGAAGGAAAAUCGGAUUACCAGAAUUUCGAAAUUCCUAUCGACUAUGGCGGGUGUUCUAACGGUCGCCGCGUCAUCAGCCGCCGUCUGUCGGCGCUCGUUUCCGGCGAAGAAAUCUCUCUCUUCUUCUACUUCAUCUUCGAAAUGCUACUCGAUCGGGGGCUGGGAUCCCCUGCUUCGCAGGCCCACGGUGCUCCGCCCGAGAAAGCUCGUGAUUCGAGCUGCCCGGACCGAGUCCAAAGGGGUUUCUCUUGGUUUCAGAGCACCAGAUUUCGAGCUUCUGGAACCUCUCACUGGGAAAGUGUGGAAACUGGACGACUUCGACUCCUACCCUGCAUUGCUGGUAAUGUUCAUCUGCAACCAUUGCCCUUUUGUCAAACACUUGAAGAAAGAUAUUGUAAAGCUCUCAAACUUCUAUAUGAAGAAAGGACUUGCGGUGGUUGCAAUUUCUUCAAACUCUGUUACUACUCAUCCACAGGAUGGACCAGAUGUCAUGGCUAAGGAAGCUAAGAUAUUUAAGUAUCCUUUUCCAUAUCUCUAUGAUGAGUCCCAAGAUGUCGCAAGAAACUUUGGAGCUGUUUGUACACCAGAGUUUUUCUUGUUUAAAAAGGAUGGUCGUAGGCCAUUUGAGUUAGUAUAUCAUGGUCAGUUUGAUGAUUCGCGGCCGAGUAAUAAUAUGCGCAUCACUGGAAGGGACUUGAGCUUAGCGAUAGACAGUGUGUUAAGUGGACAACCAGUAUCAUCCAUUCAAAAGCCUAGUGUUGGAUGCAGUAUAAAGUGGAAGCCUGAAGUUGAGCCAUAAAAACAUGCAUUUAAAUAGACCUUCAAAUUGCCAUUGCCAGCGUUGCUAAGAUUAUAGUCUGAUGGCUGACUACCAUCUAAUUACAUAGCAGGCUGAAUCCCUUGUUUUUUGUUCGUUUGAUCAUCUUCACAUCUUCGGGAUUUCAUUUCCAGAAUUCAACUACAAAAUGGCCAGGGGAUGAUGGUCCCUUGCCUCCCGUAAUGCUACUUUCAUAGGGGUACUUCCAAACAAGACCUUCUCGUCGUUGUGUCUUUUGUUACAAUCCCUGCUAGUUUACAUACGUUGCAUGGAAGUGAAAUAAGGUACUCUGUUUUCAGGUCCCAGUUAAGGAGACUCAAACUGCUUGCCAGCAAAAUUUAAACACUUUUUUGUUCAGUUUGGCUUGAACUUAGUUUUGUUUACCUUUUACUUUAUCUGAUGCGUGCUGCUUCAUAGAGCAACUGUUUAUUUAUUUUUUAAUAUACAUCCAUGAUUUUAAUUUGAUUGGUCUUGUUUGCUACA